Molecule: long non-coding RNA, 689 nt
Filed under: Homo sapiens (human)
Lineage: Eukaryota; Metazoa; Chordata; Mammalia; Primates; Hominidae
Description: novel transcript
Source: RNAcentral
AGCCAACGCCUGUGCAUCCAUUACCCAGCAGAAGUGCCGUCCAUUACCCAGCUGAUGUGCUGUCCAUUACCCAGUGGAAGUGCCGUCCAUUACCCAGCAGAAGUAGAACGUCGCCAACGCUUUUGAAGUCUCUGUGCCUCCUUCUGAAUUGCAUUCCCCCUGACCCCACAUAGAAGAUUGCAAAGAAAGAAGAAAGCAGCAGCAGCAGCAGUGGCAACAGAGAUGCAUGUGGCCUGCAAAGCCGAAAAUAUUUAUCAUCUGGCUAUUCACAAAAAAUUGCUAACCACCCCCCGCAACCCGCUAUGACUGUUUUCUAACUUAGUUUCUAUUUUUGUUGUCAUUGAAAUGUUUCAUUUCAAUGUAGUAUAAUGUAUCAUUUUAAAGAUUAUAAUAUUAUAGAUUAUAUGACUCUGCUUCUAGCUCUCUGAUUUCAUUGUUCUAUUCAUAUAUCAAAAUGCCAAUACCACUUUUAAAUUUACUAGUGUUCCAAAAUAAGUCUGAUAUCUGGUAGGGCAAAUCUGUCCCCUUCCAACCCAUUUUCUCUCUUAAACAGUUCUGAUCCAACAACCUCCCCACUUGGUCACAAUGACCAAAGUUGAUUCAAUGCAUGCAUUAAUUUUAUAUUUAUACCUUUCAACUGCCAGUAUAUAAAAUUCAAAGUUGUUUCCGCCCCUACCCCCCGCCAGCUG